Molecule: ribosomal RNA, 641 nt
Filed under: Arcobacter sp.
Lineage: Bacteria; Pseudomonadati; Campylobacterota; Epsilonproteobacteria; Campylobacterales; Arcobacteraceae
Description: bacterial SSU rRNA
Rfam family: Bacterial small subunit ribosomal RNA
Source: RNAcentral
GAACGGGUUAUAGCUUGCUAUAAUUGUCAGCUAAGUGGCGCACGGGUGAGUAAUGUAUAGGUAAUAUGCCUCUUACUAAGGGAUAACAAAUGGAAACGUUUGCUAAUACCUUAUACUCCUUAUUAACAGAAGUUAAUAAGGGAAAGAUUUAUUGGUAAGAGAUUAGCCUGUAUUGUAUCAGUUAGUUGGUGGGGUAAUGGCUUACCAAGACUAUGACACAUAACUGGUUUGAGAGGAUGAUCAGUCACACUGGAACUGAGACACGGUCCAGACUCCUACGGGAGGCAGCAGUGGGGAAUAUUGCACAAUGGACGAAAGUCUGAUGCAGCAACGCCGCGUGGAGGAUGACACAUUUCGGUGCGUAAACUCCUUUUAUAUGAGAAGAUAAUGACGGUAUUAUAUGAAUAAGCACCGGCUAACUCCGUGCCAGCAGCCGCGGUAAUACGGGGGGUGCAAGCGUUACUCGGAAUCACUGGGCGUAAAGAGCAUGUAGGCGGAUUAAUAAGUUUGAAGUGAAAUCCUAUAGCUUAACUAUAGAACUGCUUUGAAAACUGUUAAUCUAGAAUGUGGGAGAGGUAGAUGGAAUUUCUGGUGUAGGGGUAAAAUCCGUAGAGAUCAGAAGGAAUACCGAUUGCGAAGGC